RNAcentral lists this small nuclear RNA (124 nucleotides) under Mustela putorius furo (domestic ferret). RNAcentral's name for it is "U4 spliceosomal RNA". It matches the Rfam family "U4 spliceosomal RNA". From Rfam's summary of the family: U4 small nuclear RNA (U4 snRNA) is a component of the major U2-dependent spliceosome. The structure of U4 snRNA from yeast and human has been reported. The record is from Rfam by way of RNAcentral. Lineage: Eukaryota; Metazoa; Chordata; Mammalia; Carnivora; Mustelidae.
AGCUAUGCGCAGUGGCAGUAUCGUAGCCAAUGAGUUUUAUCCAAGGCACGAUUAUUGCUAAUUGAUAAGAAAACGUAAUUAAAAUCAAAAGGAAGUAAAAAUACAUUUACAAUACAGUACUGUA